RNAcentral lists this long non-coding RNA (1513 nucleotides) under Homo sapiens (human). RNAcentral describes it as "HSALNT0394885". The record is from RNAcentral. Lineage: Eukaryota; Metazoa; Chordata; Mammalia; Primates; Hominidae.
AAGAGUAAUUUUUAAAGUCUUCCAUUGAAAGUUCCAUAUAUUUUAAACACAAAAAGAAAUAGCCUAGCAUACAAACAUUCUAGGGAUUCCCAAAUAAUUUCUCUAAUAGCAGAGAUCUCUGAUGUGCAAGUGGCCAGCGUGUUCCCAAAAUAUAAGCACUUCUAAUCUUGGCAAACUUGUCCUUGAGAUGCCAAUGUUGACUGGUGACUAUCCACAGGCAGGGCUAGAAAAGGGAGUGGAACAUUUUACUUAGGCAGGAAGCACUGAAGAGAAGAAUCUUUUUUUCAGUAGACAUUUGUGGGAAAUAAAAAUUUGUUUAGAAGAAUUUAGGCCAAGAGAUAAAAUGGUCUUCUUUUGACUGAGGAGAGAUAAGAUAGAUUUUAAGCAGACAUCUGAAGUUAAAGGUGAGAGAAGGAAGAUAAACUGGGUGAUUUUGCUCACCUAAGAAGGUACACAGAUCCAAAGAAAAAGAGAUUCGAGAGGUGUCUCCAGCUUCUGAUUUUGAUGACAUCUCCCAGAGAGGACCGUGUUGCCAUCACCAUCCCAGAGUCUGAAAGUGUCCAGGAAAUAUCAAUGAAAUCAUGGAAUUUUGAAGAAGAUACAACAAUUUUAUUUCUGCUACAACAGACGUUCUGCUAAUGGAACAGAAGUCAGCGAAGGACCUAUUAGGUUUUAGGUCACUUAUUACUCAAAGUUUAUACAUUCUACACUAAGUUAUUUAUUGCUCAAAUUUAUCUCAUAUUUAUUCCUAGAUUGUGUGUAUUAAUACAAGGCCCAGAAAAGUUGAAUAAUGUACAGUAUAUUUCAAGUAUUAUAAUUAAAAACUUAGAGAUUUAGCCCAGGUUUAUCUGAACCAAUAUCUUCUGUUUUUUUCACUCAAAUAUUUUGAGGAUGAGCAUUAUUUAGCAGUGAAUAGGUGUGUUCUUAGGCAGAAAAUCCUCCAAUGCAUUCUUCUUAGUGAAAGAAGCCAGACACAAACAGGAUGCAAAUUGUAAGAUUCUAUAUGAAAUAUAAAUCCAUGGAGACAUAACUCAGAUUGGGGGGUUGUUAGAGUAUAGAGAGGAAGGAUGGGGAGAAACUUCUAAAUGAAUAAGUUUUACUAAGCUUUGUGGAAAUAUUUUGCAACUCGAGAGAGAUGGUCAUUGCACAAUAUUGUGAAAAUGCUGAAUGACACUUAAUCGUUCAUUUUAAAAUGGGUAAUUUUAUGUUGUGUGAAUUUCACCCUAGCAAAUUAUUUUUAAAAUAGAAAAUACAACUGUGAUGACAAAGAACAUUAGACUCCAGUUCUAACAUUAUGACAGUUAAUGCAUGGAAAUAGAUAUGACUCUUUUCUUCCCCCACACAUUACAUUACAAAAGUUGAUACCCAACAUUAAAUCCUUUCGUAAUAGAGAAAAUAUUGCUAGACAAUGACAGUGGUUCCAAGGCAGCUUUAAGAACAGAAGUGCCACAUGUAACUCACUGUGAUUCAUAUCUGUGUUUUGCUUAGUACCUAACACCAUACCUGGCAAAAU